ACAGAAGAGCCAUGAUGCAUGCUCCGUGC
This 29-nucleotide non-coding RNA is filed under the name Homo sapiens (human). The record is from RNAcentral. Lineage: Eukaryota; Metazoa; Chordata; Mammalia; Primates; Hominidae.